Molecule: ribosomal RNA, 465 nt
Filed under: uncultured Burkholderiales bacterium
Lineage: Bacteria; Pseudomonadati; Pseudomonadota; Betaproteobacteria; Burkholderiales
Description: bacterial SSU rRNA
Rfam family: Bacterial small subunit ribosomal RNA
Source: RNAcentral
CCUACGGGGGGCUGCAGUGGGGAAUUUUGGACAAUGGGGGAAACCCUGAUCCAGCCAUGCCGCGUGCGGGAUGAAGGCCUUCGGGUUGUAAACCGCUUUUGUCAGAGACGAAAAGGGACGUACGAAUAAUACGUUCCGCUGACGGUAUCUGAAGAAUAAGCACCGGCUAACUACGUGCCAGCAGCCGCGGUAAUACGUAGGGUGCAAGCGUUAAUCGGAAUUACUGGGCGUAAAGGGUGCGCAGGCGGCUGUGCAAGACAGAUGUGAAAUCCCCGGGCUUAACCUGGGAACUGCAUUUGUGACUGCACGGCUAGAGUUUGUCAGAGGAGGGUGGAAUUCCGCGUGUAGCAGUGAAAUGCGUAGAUAUGCGGAAGAACACCAAUGGCGAAGGCAGCCCUCUGGGACAUGACUGACGCUCAUGCACGAAAGCGUGGGGAGCAAACAGGAUUAGAUACCCUAGUAGUC